AAGUUGUGGCCGACCCAGCCUUGCGCAGCAGGAGCUGCUUUUGUAACGAAGAACUCAGGUUUUCGUGCCCUCUGAUUACUUGAGACAAGAGUCGUCUGUUGCUCUGCCUUUCAGAGGAAAAAAGCCGAAAAGAUAAAAUGAGUCGACACAAACCCUUGCCAGGAUGCUUGUUGCUCUACAUGCUGUGAGACGUCUGACUUUGAUUGAUAUUUUCAAAGCUUUUUCUCAAUUGUAAGCUCUGCUGUAGGACGUGCUGGGUCGCUGCCCGAGCAGAAUGCUGACGAGGAGCGAAGUCUUUCCCGUCACGCACAUUACAGUAAUUAACUCUGCAUUCAGAGGAUGAAAAGGGGAGUGCAGCUCUUUUGUGAGUUAUGGAGAGAAGCAUGAAGUUACAGAACUGAUGAAACAGCUUAUUACACUCACUCCUUAGCAUGCAAAGGAGCAAACACUUCAGGGUUCACUUCUGUC
Molecule: long non-coding RNA, 468 nt
Organism: Xiphophorus maculatus (southern platyfish)
Lineage: Eukaryota; Metazoa; Chordata; Actinopteri; Cyprinodontiformes; Poeciliidae
Exons: 3
Source: RefSeq, a predicted model, not a curated record